UACGGAGGGUGCGAGCGUUGUCCGGAAUCAUUGGGCGGAAAGGGCGCGUAGGUGGCGGCUUAAGCGUGCGGUGAAAGCUCGGGGCUCAACCCCGAGUCGGCCGUGCGAACUGAGUCGCUUGAGCACUGUAGAGGCAGGCGGAAUUCCGGGUGUAGCGGUGGAAUGCGUAGAGAUCCGGAAGAACACCGGUGGCGAAGGCGGCCUGCUGGGCAGUAGCUGACACUGAGGCGCGACAGCGUGGGGAGCAAACAGG
Molecule: ribosomal RNA, 253 nt
Filed under: uncultured bacterium
Lineage: Bacteria
Description: partial 16S ribosomal RNA
Rfam family: Bacterial small subunit ribosomal RNA
Source: RNAcentral